RNAcentral lists this ribosomal RNA (488 nucleotides) under uncultured bacterium. RNAcentral's name for it is "bacterial SSU rRNA". It matches the Rfam family "Bacterial small subunit ribosomal RNA", at positions 26 to 507 of the family's 1533-position model. The record is from RNAcentral.
CGAGGAUGAACGCUGGCGGCGUGCUUAACACAUGCAAGUCGAACGGAGCUUAGUGGAUCAAGACUUCGGUCAAGUGAAAUUAAGCUUAGUGGCGGACGGGUGAGUAACGCGUGAGGAACCUGCCUCGGAGUGGGGAAUAACAGUUGGAAACGACUGCUAAUACCGCAUAAUGCAUAGAGAUCGCAUGGUCUUUAUGCCAAAGAUUUUAUCGCUCUGAGAUGGCCUCGCGUCUGAUUAGCUAGUUGGCGGGGUAACGGCCCACCAAGGCGACGAUCAGUAGCCGGACUGAGAGGUUGGCCGGCCACAUUGGGACUGAGACACGGCCCAGACUCCUACGGGAGGCAGCAGUGGGGAAUAUUGGGCAAUGGGCGCAAGCCUGUUACCCAGCAACGCCGCGUGAAGGAAGAAGGCUUUCGGGUUGUAAACUUCUUUUCUUGGGGGACGAACAGAUGACGGUACCCAAGGAAUAAGCCACGGCUAACUACGUG